RNAcentral lists this ribosomal RNA (253 nucleotides) under uncultured bacterium. Its description in RNAcentral is "partial 16S ribosomal RNA". It matches the Rfam family "Bacterial small subunit ribosomal RNA", at positions 524 to 776 of the family's 1533-position model. The record is from RNAcentral.
UACGAAGGGGGCUAGCGUUGUUCGGAUUUACUGGGCGUAAAGCGCACGUAGGCGGAUCGAUCAGUCAGGGGUGAAAUCCCAGGGCUCAACCCUGGAACUGCCUUUGAUACUGGCGACCUUGAGUCCGGGAGAGGUGAGUGGAACUGCGAGUGUAGAGGUGAAAUUCGUAGAUAUUCGCAAGAACACCAGUGGCGAAGGCGGCUCACUGGCCCGGUACUGACGCUGAGGUGCGAAAGCGUGGGGAGCAAACAGG